RNAcentral lists this microRNA precursor (61 nucleotides) under Pristionchus pacificus. RNAcentral's name for it is "mir-8364 microRNA precursor family". It matches the Rfam family "mir-8364 microRNA precursor family". Lineage: Eukaryota; Metazoa; Nematoda; Chromadorea; Rhabditida; Neodiplogasteridae. The record is from Rfam by way of RNAcentral.
UCUUCAUUUCCUACCCUCUCUCACCGGUCAGACAGGCGAGAGAGUGUGGACCAUGAAGAGA